GCCCUGGUAGCUCAAUUGGCUAGAGCGUGGGACUUUUACUCAUAUCGAGCUGAUUGGUUCGGUUGGAAUUAGGAGUCAUCCCAAGGUUGCGGGUUCGACCCCCGCCUGGGGCG
This is a non-coding RNA of Whalleya microplaca, 113 nucleotides long. The record is from the annotation of a GenBank genome assembly. NCBI's taxonomy places the organism in Eukaryota, Fungi, Ascomycota, Sordariomycetes, Xylariales, Xylariaceae.